GGCAGUGGUAGCUCAGUGGUUAAGACGUUGGACUACUGAUCGGAAGGUCACGUGUUCAGCUCCCAGCACUGCCA
Non-coding RNA from Pangasianodon gigas (Mekong giant catfish), 74 nucleotides. The record is from the annotation of a GenBank genome assembly. NCBI's taxonomy places the organism in Eukaryota, Metazoa, Chordata, Actinopteri, Siluriformes, Pangasiidae.